Molecule: non-coding RNA, 523 nt
Organism: Paramuricea clavata
Lineage: Eukaryota; Metazoa; Cnidaria; Anthozoa; Malacalcyonacea; Plexauridae
Source: the annotation of a GenBank genome assembly
AGAAUACCCCCAGACCCCCCUACUAGUACAUACGAUACCACACCAAACUUUUUGUCACCAACAACCAUCUGUCAUCUCUCCACACUCAAUAUAGUAUAGUCCCUUUUUGUAGAUGCCCACCCCCCAGACAAGUUCUUAAAAAAAACCUGUGUUCAAAUCAUUUCGCUGUAUGAAGACGGGUCAUGGGUUAGGGUUAUGGUAGGACAAAUGUUGCAUUGCAAAGUAGUAACACAUAAUAUAUAUUUUUAAUCAUAUAUGGUUGAAUCAUAUUCACCAGGGUAAAACAUCAUGAGCUAGAUUAAACAGAUUGUCCUAAUAUCUAACUUUACCUGCAACGCACACCUGUUUCAUUGCUGUUAAUUUUUCAAUCCACACUGGGGGGGGGUGUCAGAAAAGUUUCUACUUUUAUGAGGGGGGAGGCACAAAAAGUUUGCCUUCAGUCUGGAGGGGGGUCAAAAAAGUUUUCAAUCCUUAUUUUCCCCAUUUCCCAACCCCCCCUCCCCAUAAAUAAUGACCACUCCCU